This is a long non-coding RNA of Apus apus (common swift), 1445 nucleotides long. RefSeq lists it as uncharacterized. The record is from RefSeq and is a predicted model, not a curated record. The transcript is spliced from 2 exons. Lineage: Eukaryota; Metazoa; Chordata; Aves; Apodiformes; Apodidae.
ACAGAGCGGCCCAGCGCCCGCCGCACCAUCGAGACGGCCCGGCGGGACAGAGCGGCCCCGCGGGACAGAGGGGUCCCGCCGUCAUGGCGGCCGGGCCCUCGGGAAGGCCGCGGCCAGACCCGCCGCUGAGCCCUGCCCCGCUCCUGAGCCCUGCCCCGCUCCUGCCGCUCCCCGGAGCUUCGCCCCUGCGCCCCGGGACACAGCGCCGGGCCCUGGCGCGGCUGGUCUGGGCUGCCCCGGCCUGCACCGCACGGCGGCCCGGGGCGGGGGCUGGGCCCGGGGCUGGGGCUGGGCCCGGGGCUGGGCCCGGGUCAGGCCAGGCCCGACCUGUGGGCUCCCGGCGCUGGGAGCGGUGCCGGUGGCCGGGAAGGUGGCCGGGACAGGCUGAGCCUGCCCUGCCCGGGAGGCUGGAGAGGCGUCCGGCAGAGCCGGGCUUGGCGCAGGGUGGACGUUGUCCAAAGUAAACGGCAAAGGGUAAAUCCAGGCCUUGGCGUGCUCGGUUUGGUUAGGUUUGAGGCACGUGAACUCGGUGGCACGAGCUGCUGGUGUUUGUUCAGGGCUCGGGGUGGGAAGGACGGUGACAUCUAUGCUAAACCAAUCAGGUGAUAAAGAACAGUUCCAUGGCUGAUUUCCUGAGGAGCUGGCCAGAACCCGUCCACUUUUCCUUCUUUAUUGCUGGAUUACAGCUCAGCUGGUUGCAGGCACGGAGCAGAUCAGCACUGAGUCCCUGCAAAGAGACAGCCCGAGGAGGAGGAGGAGUCUGCAGCAGCACCAGCUUGUGCUGCCUCUGAGUGUUCCACCUCCUGCAGUGUCUCCUAGAGAAGCUUUUCUUCCGAGUUCCAUGGUGGACAAGCUGGUUUUCACAGGAGCAGGAACUGCAGUCCUGAUGGGCCGUGAGAGCUUGGCCAUAAAGCCUCUUUAUUGGGCUGAAACAAAGUGUUGAUGCCUGAUCUUACGGGAAGAGAUGUGCCCACUUCUGUGUGCUGCCUUGAUGAACUGCACCAUGACCCAAACUGAGGUAGUUCUGCCAAAACCCAGUUUCAGUUACGUGUGAUUUUAGAGCAGAAUCUGCUUUAUUAGCUUUAACUGUAAGAGAGAUCCUUCCACCAUGAACUGCAGGUGAAUUUGUGUCCCUUCCUUUGGCUGCAUGUCCAACAUACUGAUAAAUUUAAAACUGGUUUUAGGAUUCCAAUACUUGCCUGUCCUGCAGCAGGACUCUUGGAAAUCAUCUCUGGGAAGAGAGAACCAGAGAUCUGGGAUCUGUGCUGGCUUUGUGCCUUUGAUAGAUUCCUGUUCAGUGUAAAGUAAAUCAUCUGCUUGGCCAGCCAGUAACAUCUGUGUGGCUGCAGUGAAAUCAGCUGUGUGAGACCCUCUUGGAACAAGAUUAAGGGUGAUUUUUCUUAGAGUACAAAGCAUUAUGGAAAAAAAAGAAGAAAUGUCUGGUA